This 385-nucleotide ribosomal RNA is filed under the name uncultured Acinetobacter sp. Its description in RNAcentral is "bacterial SSU rRNA". It matches the Rfam family "Bacterial small subunit ribosomal RNA", at positions 355 to 721 of the family's 1533-position model. The record is from RNAcentral. Lineage: Bacteria; Pseudomonadati; Pseudomonadota; Gammaproteobacteria; Moraxellales; Moraxellaceae.
UGGGGGAUAUUGAACAAUGGGCGGAAGCUGAUCCAGCCAUGCCGCGUUUGUGAAGCAAGGCCUUUUGCGCUUGUAAAGCACUUUAAGCGAGGUAGGAGGCUACUCUGUGAUUAAUACUCUGUGGAUAGUGGACGUGUACUCGCAGAAUAAGCACCGGCUAACUCUGUGCCAGCAGCCGCGGUAAUACAGAGGGUGCGAGCGUUAAUCGGAUUUACUGGGCGUAAAGCGUGCGUAGGCGGCUUGUAUUAAGUCGGAUGUGAAAUCCCUGAAGCUUAACUUAGGAAUUGCAUUCGAUACUGGGAAGCUAGAGUAUGGGAGAGGAUGGUAGAAUUCCAGGUGUAGCGGUGAAAUGCGUAGAGAUCUGGAGGAAUACCGAUGGCGAAGG